RNAcentral lists this ribosomal RNA (193 nucleotides) under Arthrobacter sp. Its description in RNAcentral is "partial 16S ribosomal RNA". It matches the Rfam family "Bacterial small subunit ribosomal RNA", at positions 331 to 526 of the family's 1533-position model. The record is from RNAcentral. Lineage: Bacteria; Bacillati; Actinomycetota; Actinomycetes; Micrococcales; Micrococcaceae.
CUUUACUCCUACGUGGAGGCAGCAGUGGGGAAUAUUGCACAAUGGGCGAAAGCCUGAUGCAGCGACGCCGCGUGAGGGAUGACGGCCUUCGGGUUGUAAACCUCUUUCAGUAGGGAAGAAGCCCUCUUUGGGGGUGACGGUACUUGCAGAAGAAGCGCCGGCUAACUACGUGCCAGCAGCCGCGGUAAUAAAC